UACGGAGGAUCCAAGCGUUAUCCGGAAUCAUUGGGUUUAAAGGGUCCGUAGGCGGCCCAGUAAGUCAGUGGUGAAAUCUCCCGGCUCAACCGGGAAAUGGCCAUUGAUACUGCUGGGCUUGAAUUACCAGGAAGUAACUAGAAUAUGUAGUGUAGCGGUGAAAUGCUUAGAUAUUACAUGGAAUACCAAUUGCGAAGGCAGGUACUACUGGUUGAUUGACGCUGAUGGACGAAAGCGUGGGUAGCGAACAGGAUUAAGACUAC
RNAcentral lists this ribosomal RNA (263 nucleotides) under uncultured bacterium. RNAcentral's name for it is "partial 16S ribosomal RNA". It matches the Rfam family "Bacterial small subunit ribosomal RNA", at positions 524 to 786 of the family's 1533-position model. The record is from RNAcentral.